Molecule: long non-coding RNA, 206 nt
Organism: Capsicum annuum
Lineage: Eukaryota; Viridiplantae; Streptophyta; Magnoliopsida; Solanales; Solanaceae
Exons: 3
Source: RefSeq, a predicted model, not a curated record
UCAUCCGCUUGGAAAUUGAUGAAAGAUGCUCUUGCCUUGAGAAAAUUGAUCGCUUGGAGAUUUUCCAGCAAUAUAUACGUGAUUUAGAGAGCGAAGAGGAGGAGCAAAGGAAACUGCGGAUGGGCAUACACCGUUGAUUCAAAUAGGAAGAAUUGAGGAAAGCUGAACGUAAAAAUCGUGAUGAGUUCCGAAAACUGAUGGAAGAG